RNAcentral lists this ribosomal RNA (732 nucleotides) under Arenibacter nanhaiticus. RNAcentral's name for it is "bacterial SSU rRNA". It matches the Rfam family "Bacterial small subunit ribosomal RNA", at positions 18 to 743 of the family's 1533-position model. Lineage: Bacteria; Pseudomonadati; Bacteroidota; Flavobacteriia; Flavobacteriales; Flavobacteriaceae. The record is from RNAcentral.
CAUGGCUCAGGAUGAACGCUAGCGUCUGGCCUAACACAUGCAAGUCGAGGGGCAGCGGGGAUAAGCUUGCUUAUCUGCCGGCGACCGGCGCACGGGUGCGUAACGCGUAUAGAAUCUGCCUUGUACUAGGGAAUAGCCCAGAGAAAUUUGGAUUAAUGCCCUAUAGUAUAUCGUUAUGGCAUCAUAAUGAUAUUAAAGGUUACGGUACAAGAUGACUAUGCGUCCCAUUAGUUAGUUGGUGAGGUAACGGCUUACCAAGACUGCGAUGGGUAGGGGCCCUGAGAGGGGGAUCCCCCACACUGGUACUGAGACACGGACCAGACUCCUACGGGAGGCAGCAGUGAGGAAUAUUGGACAAUGGGCGGGAGCCUGAUCCAGCCAUGCCGCGUGCAGGAAGACGGUCCUAUGGAUUGUAAACUGCUUUUAUACGGGAAGAACAAGGGGCACGUGUGCCCUUCUGACGGUACCGUAAGAAUAAGGAUCGGCUAACUCCGUGCCAGCAGCCGCGGUAAUACGGAGGAUCCAAGCGUUAUCCGGAAUCAUUGGGUUUAAAGGGUCCGUAGGCGGGCCAUUAAGUCAGGGGUGAAAGUUUGCGGCUCAACCGUAAAAUUGCCCUUGAUACUGGUGGUCUUGAGUUAUAGUGAAGUGGCUAGAAUAUGUAGUGUAGCGGUGAAAUGCAUAGAUAUUACAUAGAAUACCGAUUGCGAAGGCAGGUCACUAACUAUACACUGA